GUAGAUCGGUAGUUUAAUUGGUAAAACACUCGUUUAGCAUACAAGAGUCUUAGGUUCGAAUCCCACCUUAGUACA
Molecule: transfer RNA, 75 nt
Filed under: Aedes aegypti (yellow fever mosquito)
Lineage: Eukaryota; Metazoa; Arthropoda; Insecta; Diptera; Culicidae
Description: partial tRNA-OTHER
Rfam family: tRNA (bases 9-67)
About the family: Transfer RNA (tRNA) molecules are approximately 80 nucleotides in length.
Source: RNAcentral